RNAcentral lists this ribosomal RNA (468 nucleotides) under uncultured bacterium. RNAcentral's name for it is "partial 16S ribosomal RNA". It matches the Rfam family "Bacterial small subunit ribosomal RNA", at positions 28 to 507 of the family's 1533-position model. The record is from RNAcentral.
GACGAACGCUGGCGGCGUGCUUAACACAUGCAAGUCGAACGGAAAGGCCCUGCUUUUGUGGGGUGCUCGAGUGGCGAACGGGUGAGUAACAAGUGAGUAACCUGCCCUUGACUUUGGGAUAACUUCAGGAAACUGGGGCUAAUACCGGAUAGGAGCUCCUGCUGCAUGGUGGGGGUUGGAAAGUUUCGGCGGUUGGGGAUGGACUCGCGGCUUAUCAGCUUGUUGGUGGGGUAGUGGCUUACCAAGGCUUUGACGGGUAGCCGGCCUGAGAGGGUGACCGGCCACAUUGGGACUGGGAUACGGCCCAGACUCCUACGGGAGGCAGCAGUGGGGAAUAUUGCACAAUGGGCGGAAGCCUGAUGCAGCAACGCCGCGUGCGGGAUGACGGCCUUCGGGUUGUAAACCGCUUUCGCCUGUGACGAAGCGUGAAUGACGGUAAUGGGUAAAGAAGCACCGGCUAACUACGUG